AUCUACGGCCAUACCACUCUGCAUGUGCCUGAUCUUGGAAGCUAAGCAGGGUCGGGCCUGGUUAGUACUUGGAUGGGAGAAUUACCCUCAGCAUGGUGACAUGCUCUCCCUGAGGAGAUGGCUGAUU
Molecule: ribosomal RNA, 127 nt
Filed under: Prolemur simus (greater bamboo lemur)
Lineage: Eukaryota; Metazoa; Chordata; Mammalia; Primates; Lemuridae
Source: RNAcentral